CCCUAGAGGAGCCUGUUCCAUAAUCGAUAAACCCCGAUCCACCCCACCCUCUCUUGCUUAGCCUAUAUACCGCCAUCUUCAGCAAACCCUGAUGAAGGUCACAAAGUGAGCGCAAACGCCACCACCGCGAAGACGUUAGGUCAAGGUGUAGCCUAUGAGACGGAUAAAAAAUGGGCUACAUUUUCUAUCUCAGAAAACUCUACGAAAACCCCUAUGAAACCUGGGGGUCCAAGGAGGAUUUAGUAGUAAAUUAAGAAUAGAGUGCUUAAUUGAACCAGGCCAUAAAGCGCGCACACACCGCCCGUCACUCCUCUCAAAUAUAUUUAAGGAACAUCUUAACUAAACGCCCUAAUAUUUAUAUAGAGAGGAUAAGUCGUAACAUGGUAAGCGUACUGGAAGGUGCGCUUGGAU
RNAcentral lists this ribosomal RNA (411 nucleotides) under Macaca sinica (toque macaque). Its description in RNAcentral is "partial 12S ribosomal RNA". It matches the Rfam family "Bacterial small subunit ribosomal RNA", at positions 925 to 1523 of the family's 1533-position model. The record is from RNAcentral. Lineage: Eukaryota; Metazoa; Chordata; Mammalia; Primates; Cercopithecidae.